GGAGAGAUGGCUGAGUGGACUAAAGCGGCGGAUUGCUAAUCCGUUGUACAAUUUUUUUGUACCGAGGGUUCGAAUCCCUCUCUUUCCGCCCCCUCGGAUCAUUUGGGACUUUCGAAUUGGAAGGAAUUCUGAC
Molecule: transfer RNA, 133 nt
Filed under: Fargesia stenoclada
Lineage: Eukaryota; Viridiplantae; Streptophyta; Magnoliopsida; Poales; Poaceae
Description: tRNA-Ser
Rfam family: tRNA (bases 1-88)
About the family: Transfer RNA (tRNA) molecules are approximately 80 nucleotides in length.
Source: RNAcentral